This 440-nucleotide ribosomal RNA is filed under the name uncultured bacterium. RNAcentral's name for it is "partial 16S ribosomal RNA". It matches the Rfam family "Bacterial small subunit ribosomal RNA", at positions 338 to 795 of the family's 1533-position model. The record is from RNAcentral.
CCUACGGGCGGCAGCAGUGGGGGAUAUUGCACAAUGGGGGAAACCCUGAUGCAGCGAUGCCGCGUGAAUGAAGACGGCCUUCGGGUUGUAAAGUUCUGUCGCAGGGGACGAAAAUGACUGUACCUGACUAAGAAGCCCCGGCUAACUACGUGCCAGCAGCCGCGGUAAUACGUAGGGGGCAAGCGUUAUCCGGAUUUACUGGGUGUAAAGGGAGCGUAGGCGGCGAUGCAAGUCAGAAGUGAAAGCCCGGGGCUCAACUCCGGGACUGCUUUUGAAACUGUAUGGCUAGAUUGCAGGAGAGGCAAGUGGAAUUCCUAGUGUAGCGGUGAAAUGCGUAGAUAUUAGGAGGAACACCAGUGGCGAAGGCGGCUUGCUGGACUGUAAAUGACGCUGAGGCUCGAAAGCGUGGGGAGCAAACAGGAUUAGAUACCCUAGUAGUC